GACGAACGCUGGCGGCGCGCCUAACACAUGCAAGUCGAACGGAGUUUGAGAGAGCUUGCUUUUUCAAACUUAGUGGCGAACGGGUGAGUAACGCGUGAGUAACCUGCCCUGUACUGGGGAAUAAUCAUUGGAAACGAUGACUAAUACCGCAUGUGGUUCUCGGAAGGCAUCUUCUGAGGAAGAAAGGAUUUAUUCGGUACAGGAUGGGCCCGCAUCUGAUUAGCUAGUUGGUGAGAUAACGGCCCACCAAGGCGACGAUCAGUAGCCGGACUGAGAGGUUGAACGGCCACAUUGGGACUGAGAUACGGCCCAG
RNAcentral lists this ribosomal RNA (313 nucleotides) under uncultured bacterium. Its description in RNAcentral is "bacterial SSU rRNA". It matches the Rfam family "Bacterial small subunit ribosomal RNA", at positions 28 to 334 of the family's 1533-position model. The record is from RNAcentral.